UGGUGCUACUCCAAGCUGCACGCUCGUGCUGGCCAUCCGAUCAGGAUCGGACGAUCCUGCCGUUGCCCCGAGCGCACCGGAGGCUAUUUUUUUUUUCGGGAGGGGAGUGCACCGGAGUAUGGAAAGCACGAACGGAACGGGAAAUCGCGCUUCCCUCCCGAACGCGGAUCCUAAAACGAAUCUGAACUGUCCGAUCGGGAACGAACGCUUCGGAUCGACUCGUGAGUCGAAACCGACCUCUUUGCCGCUCCCCCUCUUUCCUCGAACCCACCGCCUCCCUCUCGCGGCCUCGCUCCGUCCUCUCCUCGAUCUCGCUCCUGCCCGUCUCGCUACGCCGCCGUCGCGGCCAAUGGACCCCACCGCGCAGCGCGUGCGAUCCGCGGCGUCAACGGCCAAGGCGGAGAGCGCGGCGGGGUUGGUGAGGCGGUGCGCGGCGUCGACGGGAACCUGCCUCACGGUCGGCGGGCGCAGCGGCCCCGCCAUCCCCCGGGGGCGGCGAUUAUUUGCGCCGGCGACAACCUCUUGGCGACAACCUCUUGUUGAAUGAGCUUGCCAGCGCCGUGCCUGCUCGAUGCAGGUUUAGAACCUUGAUCUCUCCCGUGCGGCGCGUCGCCUUCGCCGCUCAUCGGACGGCCGCCGCCGCACCCACUUCGCUGUGCCAAGUGCCAACCAUUGGCUGCAGUCGAGUUGUGCUGCCACCUCAACCACAAUCUCGACUUCACAGUUUCUUUCAAGGCACCAUCCAAAAAGCUUGAAUAGGCUGGAUCACAUUAGGCUUAUUUUGCAAUGUUCACAUUCCACGUGGAGUACUGUCUGCUCGCUGUUUCUUAGUUCCUGGUAAUUUCAAAGCAUCUGUUUAUCAUUGCUUCUUGUUUAGGGUCAACUGGAUGUCAUAAUCUCUCUUUUUGAACGGGUUCAGGUUUAAAACGUAUAUAGGUGAGGGGAUUGAACCUUUACUAUGCAGUGCACAACACAGUUAUAUUGCAUGGGUAUAUCCGGGUCAACUAAUACAAUAUAGGAGCUUGAGAUAAGUUGGGCCGUUGGCAAGUGGUUGUUCAUCGCAUAUGCUUAGUACUUAGUGUUAUUAUAUUUGCUGUGUAGGGCUUAUGAUUUCUAUAUUAUCUACACAUGCAGACCACUUGCCUACUUGGUGCUUUGGACAUGAGUAGUAUCUAUCGUUUUUGUUAGUGUGUUCCGGAGGUGUACUGGUGAAGUCUUUCUGCAGCAGCCAGCAGAUAGUGUAGAGGCAGUAUAGACUCUGGCAUAUGCUGGUUGUAUCUUUGACAGGUUCAGAAAUUAUGUGAACUAAAUAAUGGAAAAUGAUGAAAAAUAUAAGUUCUUAACUAUACCUGCACAUUAAUCAGUGUCAUAUUGUUUAGUGCUCCAUUGGUGUGUGAAUGUCUUGGAAAAUCAAGAUGCCUAGGCAGGGAUGUCAUCAGGAGUCAAGAGGCAGAUUGUAGAGAUAUGUAAGGUCCUAUUGCAUGUAUAGUGUAAUAGC
This is a long non-coding RNA of Phragmites australis (common reed), 1498 nucleotides long. RefSeq lists it as uncharacterized. Lineage: Eukaryota; Viridiplantae; Streptophyta; Magnoliopsida; Poales; Poaceae. The transcript is spliced from 3 exons. The record is from RefSeq and is a predicted model, not a curated record.